UACGAAGGGGGCUAGCGUUGUUCGGAAUUACUGGGCGUAAAGCGCACGCAGGCGGAUUUAUAAGUCAGGGGUGAAAUCCCGGGGCUCAACCUCGGAAUUGCCCUUGAUACUGUCUAUCUUGAGUCCGGGAGAGGUGAGUGGAAUUCCUAGUGUAGAGGUGAAAUUCGUAGAUAUUAGGAAGAACACCAGUGGCGAAGGCGGCUCACUGGCCCGGUACUGACGCUGAGGUGCGAAAGCGUGGGGAGCAAACAGG
RNAcentral lists this ribosomal RNA (253 nucleotides) under uncultured bacterium. RNAcentral's name for it is "partial 16S ribosomal RNA". It matches the Rfam family "Bacterial small subunit ribosomal RNA", at positions 524 to 776 of the family's 1533-position model. The record is from RNAcentral.